AACCGGAUUAGAUACCCUGGUAGUCCACGCCGUAAACGUUGGGCGCUAGGUGUGGGGCUCAUUCCACGAGUUCCGUGCCGCAGCUAACGCAUUAAGCGCCCCGCCUGGGGAGUACGGCCGCAAGGCUAAAACUCAAAGGAAUUGACGGGGGCCCGCACAAGCGGCGGAGCAUGUUGCUUAAUUCGAUGCAACGCGAAGAACCUUACCUAGGCUUGACAUGCACGGAAAUCUCCCAGAGAUGGGGGGUCCGUAAGGGCCGUGCACAGGUGGUGCAUGGUUGUCGUCAGCUCGUGUCGUGAGAUGUUGGGUUAAGUCCCGCAACGAGCGCAACCCUCGUCCUAUGUUGCCAGCACGUCAUGGUGGGGACUCAUAGGAGACUGCCGGGGUCAACUCGGAGGAAGGUGGGGAUGACGUCAAAUCAUCAUGCCCCUUAUGUCUAGGGCUGCAAACAUGCUACAAUGGCCGGUACAAAGGGCUGCGAUACCGCGAGGUGGAGCGAAUCCCAAAAAGCCGGUCUCAGUUCGGAUUGGGGUCUGCAACUCGACCCCAUGAAGUUGGAGUCGCUAGUAAUCGCAGAUC
RNAcentral lists this ribosomal RNA (579 nucleotides) under uncultured Actinomycetes bacterium. Its description in RNAcentral is "bacterial SSU rRNA". It matches the Rfam family "Bacterial small subunit ribosomal RNA", at positions 771 to 1350 of the family's 1533-position model. The record is from RNAcentral. Lineage: Bacteria; Bacillati; Actinomycetota; Actinomycetes.